RNAcentral lists this ribosomal RNA (76 nucleotides) under Christiangramia gaetbulicola. The record is from RNAcentral. Lineage: Bacteria; Pseudomonadati; Bacteroidota; Flavobacteriia; Flavobacteriales; Flavobacteriaceae.
CAUCCCGAACAGAGUAGUUAAGCCCGUUAGCGCAGAUGGUACUGCUUUUUUGUGGGAGAGUAUGUCGCCGCCUUCU